GUCUGGAUAAGAUCUCACGACGGCGGGGAACAGAGCAACCGGACCUACGAAGGGUCCACUAGGUCAGAAGGAAACCCUAAUGUCAGCAACUAAUAUAAAAUCCCCAAACAAGGAACCACGGGAAUCGGUUUCCCAAGACCGAUUGCCGAAUCACAUCGGGUGUCCCGAAUAUCGCACCGGGGCUUCGCCGGGGUCCACUAAUUGUCCCGGAACUCCCCAACUCCAACUGGGAGUCAACCCCUGCCACUAAUACUCUAUAAUAACCCACAUUGGCAGCAAACACCACACUUCGCCUCGGAACAGACAUCGUUGACUAAACGUCUCGAACCGGGUUCCCGAAAGUGUCGUUUUUGACACCGGGACCCACCAGUCGCUCACCCGUCGUUUUCGAACCCCUGAAACGACACGGGUGACCUGCCAAGAAGGCUUAGCGACAUCACAACUGAUCCCGAGGCAUCGUCGGAUAAAAAUCGAACUAAGAUCGCAUUCCGUCGACGAAUUUCGCCACGAAACGCCCCGAAAGAGGCUUUUCGAUCUCCGCAGUGGCUUGGGGCCUUGGACGAUCAGUCCAGAGGUUACCCUCAGCGUUUACACGCUGUCCACAGCGACCGAGUCGAAGUUAUAAGCAAGAAAGCACAUCAUGAACCCUAAAAUCUAUCAUUUUAUGCGAUUUUCGACAGUUUUUAUGGCCCGAUCUUGCGAUACGAGGUUCGCUGGGUCAACCGUCGGACCCGCUGAUAGAUUUCAGCGUGCCGGAGACCGUGCUCACCAUUCGGAGCACAAUCGGCGACUGCGGUGCACGCACAAGCGACGCGAAGGUCAGCGAAGCAGCGCGCACUGCAGGAAGAUCGCGGUUGCCCGAGCAACCAAGGCAUCUCAGGGCUCGACGGAAGUGAGCACGAUGUUCAGCACGACCUAAGGAUCAUCGUGCUCACUUCCCGAGGUCAAAAAGACCAUUCGGAUUGCCGAAAAAGUUACCGGAAAGUGGGAAAACAGUGCUGGAAUGCAAAAAUGGACACUCACAGUGAGGGGGGAGCUAGGGUUGGCCGCCGGCGGUAUUCCGGCAGGCGAUCCGGCCGGGGAGGGGUGCACCAGGUGGCGGGGCUCCGGGGAACUCCACGUCAGGCGGCGCAGGGCGGCCGGAGGUGCGGCGGCGGCGUACGGAGCCGCCAACUCCCUUGCGGUUUGGUGCUUUCCAACAGUUGCCGGCGGCGACGCGGCGGCCGGGGCUGGUCGGGGCCGGUCGGGGACGAUGCCGGGGGUCGAGGCGGUGGCCGAGCUUGCGUCGGCGGGUGGCGGCGAUGCCCGGGAGUGAAGGCGGCCCGCGUUCGGCCCCUACAGCACAAAGGCGGCGGCAGGGGGCUCCUGCGGCGGCCGGCGGCCCUCGAGGGUGGCCGGGGUCGGGCGCGGUGGUCGCCGGACGGUCGGUGGAGACCUCCGCGGCCGUCGGGAAACGGCGGCAGGGCUCACACACCCGAGCCACCCAGCUUCGGCCUGGGUGGUGUCCCUGGGGCCGCAGGCGGCUACGGCGGCUCCGGCGGCGCACGGCGACGGUGGGGGUCGGCGGUGACGGUGCCGGCGGGGGUGCCUGGGUCGGGGCUCACCUCACCCGAGGCCUGGCCGGCUCAGGAUGGUGCUUGGAACUUCCUCGGCCAAGGUGGAGGGAGAGGGAGGAAGGUUGGAGCUUGGGGAAGCCUUUUCCGGCGACGGCGGCGGCUGCCGGCCGCCGGGGUGCAAGCACGGCGUGGGCAGGGGGCCUCCUAGGCGGCUGGUGCACAGGGAGGGCUAGGGUU
Molecule: long non-coding RNA, 1793 nt
Filed under: Ananas comosus (pineapple)
Lineage: Eukaryota; Viridiplantae; Streptophyta; Magnoliopsida; Poales; Bromeliaceae
Description: long non-coding RNA (ACOM_LNC042328)
Source: RNAcentral